AAGGCUUUAAGUUAUAUAAACUAGUAACCUUCAAAGCUACCAAAAAAAUAAAAUUUUAAGCCUUA
RNAcentral lists this transfer RNA (65 nucleotides) under Gryllotalpa henana. RNAcentral's name for it is "tRNA-Trp". The record is from RNAcentral. Lineage: Eukaryota; Metazoa; Arthropoda; Insecta; Orthoptera; Gryllotalpidae.